UAGUUCGAUCCUGGCUCAGGAUGAACGCUGGCGGCAUGCCUAAUACAUGCAAGUCGAACGGAGUGAAGCCUUCGGGUUUCAUUCAGUGGCGAACGGGUGAGUAAUACGCAGGGAACCUGGCCAUGGCAGGGGGAUACACUCUGGAAACGGAGCAUAAGACCCCAUAGGCAGUAAGGCGGCAUCGCCUUGCUGUUAAAGAAAGCUGAAAGGCUUUGGCGAUGGAUGGACCUGCGGUGCAUUAGCUUGUUGGUGAGGCAACGGCUUACCAAGGCGAUGAUGCAUAGCCGGCCUGAGAGGGCGGACGGCCACACUGGGACUGAGACACGGCCCAGACUCCUGCGGGAGGCAGCAGUAGGGAAUUUUCGUCAAUGGGCGCAAGCCUGAACGAGCAAUGCCGCGUGAGUGAGGAAGGUCUUCGGACUGUAAAGCUCUGUUGCCGGGGAAAAAGGGGAAAUGCAGGAAAUGGCAUUUCAUGGAUGGUACCCGGCCAGAAAGCCACGGCUAACUACGUGCCAGCAGCCGCGGUAAUACGUAGGUGGCGAGCGUUAUCCGGAAUGAUUGGGCGUAAAGGGUGCGCAGGCGGUCUGUUAAGUCUGAAGGCAAAGGGAUGAGCUCAACUCAUUUAUGAUUCAGAAACUGGCAGACUUGAGGACAGGAGAGGGCGGUGGAACUCCAUGUGUAGCGGUAAAAUGCGCAGAGAUAUGGAAGAACACCAGUGGCGAAGGCGGCCGCCUGGCCUGUGACUGACGCUGAGGCACGAAAGCGUGGGGAGCAAAUAGGAUUAGAUACCCUAGUAGUCCACGCCGUAAACGAUGAGGAGCAGGUGUUGGGAGUGAAAUCUCAGUGCCGAAGCCAACGCAGUGACUCCUCCGCCUGGGGAGUAUGCACGCAAGUGUGAAACUCAAAGGAAUUGACGGGGGCCCGCACAAGCGGUGGAGUAUGUGGUUUAAUUCGAAGCAACGCGAAGAACCUUACCAGGUUUUGACAUCGGAUGCGAAGGCGCAGAGAUGCGCUGGAGGCUAUCAUCCAGACAGGUGGUGCAUGGUUGUCGUCAGCUCGUGUCGUGAGAUGUUCAGUUAAGUCUGGCAACGAGCGCAACCCCCGUGGUAUGUUACUAACGCAUUUGGGCGAGGACUCAUAUCAGACUGCCGGUGACAAACCGGAGGAAGGCGGGGAUGACGUCAAAUCAUCAUGCCCCUUAUGGCCUGGGCUACACACGUACUACAAUGGCGUCUACAGAGGGAAGCGACCCUGAGAAGGGAAGCGAAACCGGAAAAGGGCGUCCCAGUUCGGAUUGAAGUCUGCAACCCGACUUCAUGAAGAUGGAAUCGCUAGUAAUCGCGGAUCAGCAUGCCGCGGUGAAUACGUUCCCGGGCCUUGUACACACCGCCCGUCAAACCAUGGAAGCCGGCAACGCCCGAAGCCGGUGGCAUAACCUUUUAGGAGUGAGCCGUCGAAGGCGGGGCCGAUGACUGGGGUUAAGUCGUAACAAGGUACCC
This 1499-nucleotide ribosomal RNA is filed under the name uncultured bacterium. Its description in RNAcentral is "bacterial SSU rRNA". It matches the Rfam family "Bacterial small subunit ribosomal RNA". The record is from RNAcentral.